This 229-nucleotide ribosomal RNA is filed under the name uncultured bacterium. Its description in RNAcentral is "partial 16S ribosomal RNA". It matches the Rfam family "Bacterial small subunit ribosomal RNA", at positions 568 to 796 of the family's 1533-position model. The record is from RNAcentral.
UGCGCAGGCGGGGAUGUAAGUCAGUGGUUAAAUACUGCCGCUCAACGGUAGAACUGCCAUUGAUACUGCAUCUCUUGAGUAUGGUUGAGGUAGGCGGAAUGUGUUGUGUAGCGGUGAAAUGCAUAGAUAUGACACAGAACGCCAAUUGCGAAGGCAGCUUACUAAACCAUUACUGACGCUGAGGCACGAAAGCGUGGGGAGCGAACAGGAUUAGAUACCCUGGUAGUCC